RNAcentral lists this long non-coding RNA (1038 nucleotides) under Monodelphis domestica (gray short-tailed opossum). Its description in RNAcentral is "lncRNA (ENSMODG00000045514.1)". Lineage: Eukaryota; Metazoa; Chordata; Mammalia; Didelphimorphia; Didelphidae. The record is from RNAcentral.
AUGGAGGGGACUUUUUCUCUGGAGAGUGGUCCAAAGGAUACUGCAGAGAGAGUCUGGGUAAGAGGCAUGAAUGAUAUCACCAAGGACAUAAAGGAUCAGAAGAGGAGGUGGGUCAGUCAUGAGGGGACCUAUAGAGUGAGGGAUUGGCAAACGGGCAGCUCCAAUGUUUCCUUCAUGAAAUAUCUAAUUUUUAUCUUUUUUUUUUGUUUUUACAUUCCCAGUGGUAUUUCUCCCUAUUCUCAUCCCUUUCAAUUUAUCAGCUUUCAUAAAGAAAGGAGGAGGAAGAAAAUUGGUUCAGCAAGACCACCAGUAGGUCAACCAAAUCUGCUGGUUAUUUUCCCAUCUCUUCUUCUGGCCCAAGCUGGGUUAUUGCAAUUACAAGGUGUUCAGUUAAUGUUUUUCUUUCUUCUUUCCUUUUUCUUCCUUUCCUUUCUUCCUUCUUUCUUUUCCUUCCUUCUUCCCUCCCUUCAUUCCUCUCCUUUCCUUCUUCCCUUCUCUCCUCCCUUCUCUCAUUCUUCCUUUCCCUCCUCCCUUCUUCCCUCUUUCUUCCCUCCCUUCCUCCUUUCUUUCCUUCUUCUCUUCUCUCCUGCCUUCUUCCCUUCCCUCCUUUCUUCUUUCCUUCUUCCCUUCUCUCCUUCCUUCUUCCCCUUUCUCCUCCCUUCUCUCAUUCUUCCCUUCCCUCCUCCCUUCUUCCCUCCCUUACUCCUUUCUUUCCUUCUUCCCUUCCCCUCUCCCUUCCUUCUUCCCUUCCCUCCUUUCUUCUUCCUUCCUUCUUCCCUCCCCUCCUUCCCUCAUUCCUUUCAUCUCUCCCUCUUUCCUUCCUUCCAUUUAUAUUGUUGUCAUCAUUGUAUAUAUUGUAUUUCAGGUUCCAUUUGCUUACUCUGUAUCAAUUCAUGUAAUUACUAUAUAUCCAUUCAUAUAAGUCUCCCCAUAUCUUUCUGUAUCUUGAUAUUCAUUAUUCCUUCGGGUGAGAUUUUGCUUUAUUUUAUUUUGUAUUAUAUUAUUCACAUUAUAUACUUACACAUUACAUUAACGUAG